This 2911-nucleotide ribosomal RNA is filed under the name Serratia sp. JKS296. Its description in RNAcentral is "bacterial LSU rRNA". It matches the Rfam family "Bacterial large subunit ribosomal RNA". The record is from RNAcentral. Lineage: Bacteria; Pseudomonadati; Pseudomonadota; Gammaproteobacteria; Enterobacterales; Yersiniaceae.
UGAGGUUAAGUGACUAAGCGUACACGGUGGAUGCCUAGGCAGUCAGAGGCGAUGAAGGGCGUGCUAAUCUGCGAAAAGCGUCGGUAAGGUGAUAUGAACCGUUAUAACCGGCGAUACCCGAAUGGGGAAACCCAGUGUGUUUCGACACACUAUCAUGUCAUGAAUACAUAGUGGCAUGAGGCGAACCGGGGGAACUGAAACAUCUAAGUACCCCGAGGAAAAGAAAUCAACCGAGAUUCCCCCAGUAGCGGCGAGCGAACGGGGAGGAGCCCAGAACCUGAAUCGGCUUGUGUGUUAGUGGAAGCGUCUGGAAAGUCGCGCAGCAAAGGGUGAUAGCCCCGUACACUAAAAUGCACAGGUCGUGAGUUCGAUGAGUAGGGCGGGACACGUGACAUCCUGUCUGAAUAUGGGGGGACCAUCCUCCAAGGCUAAAUACUCCUGACUGACCGAUAGUGAACCAGUACCGUGAGGGAAAGGCGAAAAGAACCCCGGCGAGGGGAGUGAAAUAGAACCUGAAACCGUGUACGUACAAGCAGUGGGAGCACCUUCGUGGUGUGACUGCGUACCUUUUGUAUAAUGGGUCAGCGACUUAUAUUUUGUAGCAAGGUUAACCGUAUAGGGGAGCCGUAGGGAAACCGAGUCUUAACUGGGCGAAUAGUUGCAAGGUAUAGACCCGAAACCCGGUGAUCUAGCCAUGGGCAGGUUGAAGGUUGGGUAACACUAACUGGAGGACCGAACCGACUAAUGUUGAAAAAUUAGCGGAUGACUUGUGGCUGGGGGUGAAAGGCCAAUCAAACCGGGAGAUAGCUGGUUCUCCCCGAAAGCUAUUUAGGUAGCGCCUCGUGAACUCAUCUUCGGGGGUAGAGCACUGUUUCGGCUAGGGGGCCAUCCCGGCUUACCAAACCGAUGCAAACUCCGAAUACCGAAGAAUGUUAUCACGGGAGACACACGGCGGGUGCUAACGUCCGUCGUGAAGAGGGAAACAACCCAGACCGCCAGCUAAGGUCCCAAAGUCAUGGUUAAGUGGGAAACGAUGUGGGAAGGCAUAGACAGCCAGGAUGUUGGCUUAGAAGCAGCCAUCAUUUAAAGAAAGCGUAAUAGCUCACUGGUCGAGUCGGCCUGCGCGGAAGAUGUAACGGGGCUAAACCAUGCACCGAAGCUGCGGCAGCGACGCUUAGGCGUUGUUGGGUAGGGGAGCGUUCUGUAAGCCGUUGAAGGUGGCCUGUGAGGGUUGCUGGAGGUAUCAGAAGUGCGAAUGCUGACAUAAGUAACGAUAAAGCGGGUGAAAAGCCCGCUCGCCGGAAGACCAAGGGUUCCUGUCCAACGUUAAUCGGGGCAGGGUGAGUCGACCCCUAAGGCGAGGCUGAAAAGCGUAGUCGAUGGGAAACAGGUUAAUAUUCCUGUACUUGGUGUUACUGCGAAGGGGGGACGGAGAAGGCUAGGCUAGCCGGGCGACGGUUGUCCCGGUUUAAGCGUGUAGGGGGUGUGACCUGGUAAAUCCGGUUGCAUAUCAACCCUGAGGCGUGAUGACGAUGCACUACGGUGCAGAAGUAGUUGAUGCCCUGCUUCCAGGAAAAUCCUCUAAGCUCCAGGUAACAUUAAAUCGUACCCCAAACCGACACAGGUGGUCAGGUAGAGAAUACCAAGGCGCUUGAGAGAACUCGGGUGAAGGAACUAGGCAAAAUGGUGCCGUAACUUCGGGAGAAGGCACGCUGGCAUGUAGGUGAAGUCCCUCGCGGAUGGAGCUGAAGCCAGUCGAAGAUACCAGCUGGCUGCAACUGUUUAAUAAAAACACAGCACUGUGCAAACACGAAAGUGGACGUAUACGGUGUGACGCCUGCCCGGUGCUGGAAGGUUAAUUGAUGGGGUCAGCCGCAAGGCGAAGCUCUUGAUCGAAGCCCCAGUAAACGGCGGCCGUAACUAUAACGGUCCUAAGGUAGCGAAAUUCCUUGUCGGGUAAGUUCCGACCUGCACGAAUGGCGUAAUGAUGGCCAGGCUGUCUCCACCCGAGACUCAGUGAAAUUGAACUCGCUGUGAAGAUGCAGUGUACCCGCGGCAAGACGGAAAGACCCCGUGAACCUUUACUAUAGCUUGACACUGAACAUUGAGCCUUGAUGUGUAGGAUAGGUGGGAGGCUUUGAAGCGUGGACGCCAGUCUGCGUGGAGCCAUCCUUGAAAUACCACCCUUUAAUGUUUGAUGUUCUAACUCGGCCCCAUAAUCUGGGGUGAGGACAGUGUCUGGUGGGUAGUUUGACUGGGGCGGUCUCCUCCCAAAGAGUAACGGAGGAGCACGAAGGUUAGCUAAUCACGGUCGGACAUCGUGAGGUUAGUGCAAAGGCAUAAGCUAGCUUGACUGCGAGAGUGACGGCUCGAGCAGGUACGAAAGUAGGUCUUAGUGAUCCGGUGGUUCUGAAUGGAAGGGCCAUCGCUCAACGGAUAAAAGGUACUCCGGGGAUAACAGGCUGAUACCGCCCAAGAGUUCAUAUCGACGGCGGUGUUUGGCACCUCGAUGUCGGCUCAUCACAUCCUGGGGCUGAAGUAGGUCCCAAGGGUAUGGCUGUUCGCCAUUUAAAGUGGUACGCGAGCUGGGUUUAGAACGUCGUGAGACAGUUCGGUCCCUAUCUGCCGUGGGCGUUGGAAGAUUGAGAGGGGUUGCUCCUAGUACGAGAGGACCGGAGUGAACGCACCACUGGUGUUCGGGUUGUCAUGCCAAUGGCAUUGCCCGGUAGCUAAGUGCGGAAAAGAUAAGCGCUGAAAGCAUCUAAGCGCGAAACUUGCCUCAAGAUGAGUCUUCCCUGGGCCUUUAAGGCCCCUGAAGGAACGUUUAAGACUAAGACGUUGAUAGGCUGGGUGUGUAAGUGCAGCGAUGCAUUGAGCUAACCAGUACUAAUGAUCCGUGAGGCUUAACCUU